UCCCCCGUUCAUGCUGUGUCUCUCUCUGUCUCAAAAAUAAAUAAACUUAAAAACAAAAACACCUUCAUAACUACCUUUCUUUCUUUCCUAUUUAGGAUCCAAUCAAAACUCACAUAUGUAGUUAUUUUACUUUCUCUUAAUCUAGCUACCACCUUGCCCCUCCCCUUUUUUUAAUGAUACUAACUUUCUAAAUAGUCCAAACCACUUGUAUUACAGUAUGCCCCACAUUCUGUAUUUAUCUGGUUGCUUCCACAUGGUGUUUAACUUUUGUACACCAACUUCUUAUUGUAAAAAAAUGGAAGGUACUCCAGUAAGCUCAGUAUGCUUUGACAAAGAUGAACUUUUUUUGUAAUUAUGAAGAGAAAAGUAAAAAUGCUAUCAAUACCACAGAUGUUAUCUUUAAAAAAAAAAGAAAGCAAGAAAGAAAAAGAAGGAUCAAAUGUAAUGAGUGCUUAUUAUAUUAGUUGUAUUUCCAUAGAGGGAGCAGUGUAUUGGCCAUAACCACUUUUACAAUAUAUUAUUUAUUAUAUGGAAAUAGCAACAUGGAAUUUCUUCCUUUGAUUCAAAUGGUUCUUGGUAUUUGUUGCAUGAAGUAUGAUUUUUUUCCUGUGCAUUAAAAACACAAUUAUAUUUCAGUAUGUGAGAUAUGUUGUACAUCUGUUCUUUGAUCCUGUGCAAAGGUGUUUGUUACUCAUGUUUUAUGGUUCUAGAAAUAAAAACAUAAUCUCCUUA
Leopardus geoffroyi (Geoffroy's cat) is the source of this 732-nucleotide long non-coding RNA. RefSeq lists it as uncharacterized. The transcript is spliced from 2 exons. The record is from RefSeq and is a predicted model, not a curated record. Lineage: Eukaryota; Metazoa; Chordata; Mammalia; Carnivora; Felidae.